RNAcentral lists this transfer RNA (80 nucleotides) under Candidatus Ishikawaella capsulata Mpkobe. RNAcentral's name for it is "tRNA-Arg". It matches the Rfam family "tRNA". From Rfam's summary of the family: Transfer RNA (tRNA) molecules are approximately 80 nucleotides in length. Their secondary structure includes four short double-helical elements and three loops (D, anti-codon, and T loops). Further hydrogen bonds mediate the characteristic L-shaped molecular structure. tRNAs have two regions of fundamental functional importance: the anti-codon, which is responsible for specific mRNA codon recognition, and the 3' end, to which the tRNAs corresponding amino acid is attached (by aminoacyl-tRNA synthetases). tRNAs cope with the degeneracy of the genetic code in two manners: having more than one tRNA (with a specific anti-codon) for a particular amino acid; and 'wobble' base-pairing, i.e. permitting non-standard base-pairing at the 3rd anti-codon position. The record is from RNAcentral. Lineage: Bacteria; Pseudomonadati; Pseudomonadota; Gammaproteobacteria; Enterobacterales; Enterobacteriaceae.
GCAUCCGUAGCUCAGUUGGAUAGAGUACUCGGCUACGAACCGAGCGGUCGGAGGUUCGAAUCCUCCCGGAUGCACCAGCA